CCUGAGUUAGGAUAGAAUUAAUCUACUAGCUUUAGGAGCUAAUGACGGGAGUUUCCCACUUAGUA
Molecule: transfer RNA, 65 nt
Filed under: Ascidiella aspersa
Lineage: Eukaryota; Metazoa; Chordata; Ascidiacea; Phlebobranchia; Ascidiidae
Description: transfer RNA-Leu(CUN)
Source: RNAcentral